Molecule: ribosomal RNA, 119 nt
Filed under: Helianthus annuus (common sunflower)
Lineage: Eukaryota; Viridiplantae; Streptophyta; Magnoliopsida; Asterales; Asteraceae
Source: RNAcentral
GGUUGCGAUCAUACCAGCACUAAUGCACCGGAUCCCAUCAGAACUCCGCAGUUAAGCGUGCUUGGGCGAGAGUAGUACUAGAAUGGGUGACCCCCUGGGAAGUCCUCAUGUUGCAACCC